AAGUUAUAAACCGGAGAUUGAUGGCCAUUACUAACGUUAAACAACUCUUUUAUUAUACAGAGGAGAACAGAAGUUCCUUCCGGUCUGUUGUUUCCGGAUGGAACGAGGAACCCCAUGACUUCUGCCCUUCCUUCAGGGCUCUGCGGGAUGGAAGGAACGGGGCCCAUAAAUGGCUUUGAUUUCCUAGUGAGAGCUGGUUCCUGUGUAAACAUUGGAGGCAGAUGUUUGUAAUGAGAGUGUAUGACAAGGUCUGACGUGGCUCCUCAGUGAACAAGGGUUGCUCAGAAUCAUGGGACUUUUCAAAUAACCCACUUAAAGGCCACAGAAAAACACAGACAGGGAGGGUAUCUCCAGGAAGGAGUGGGUUGGAACCAGCAGCUGUGAAGGGAUCUGGGUUCCCAGGAGUUACCCAUUCCAUCAGGUACUGUGUCAUGGGCCAUAGACCGUGGACCCCACAAAGCUCGAGGAAGUAGAGAAAACCUUGAAUUAGAGCUGGGGCAAGCUCCAUGAAGGACCCUGGGUUCUUUAACAUGGCCUCCUCAGGCCUUCACCAAGGGCAGACUGCACCAGAGCUGCUCAGGGGAGGGCUGUUGUCACCAGCAAAAGCAGCAGGGACUGCUGGGAAUGGACACCAAACACCGCCUCUGAGGAGGUCACCAGGAGCCAGCUGUGAAGGAAACCAGGCUUGGCAGAGGGUUGCUUAACCAAACCCAGCCAGCUGUGCCCUGGCCCUGUGUUACCUGGUUAGAGUCAGCCGAUGGAACAUGUCCCUCCCUAAACCUAGGGGCCCCACUUUAGAAUUCAAUUCCUUGGGGUUAUUUUCCCCUUGAGUCUGGACAUCUCAUCCUGAAUGGUAAAUAAAUUUUCUUUUCCCCUACUAAGACUUCUUCUUCUUUUUUUUUUUUUGGUACCAGGGAUCAAACUCGGGAUCUUGCACUUUCUAGGCAGGUGGUGGAACCACUGAGCUAAAUCCCCGGCCCCUUAAUAGGGCUUCUAGUUGAGAACCACACCCUUCCACAGGAGAAGCAGAAGUAAAAUAUGAGGAAAAAAGGAUGCGUGCACACAACUCUUUAAUUCUCUCCAAGACCCGUGAAAGGGGACUGGCUCCCAGAAAAGUCCAGAAGGCAGAGAAAGGGACAAGAGGCAUCACAGCAUCACAGCCACCAAACACCAGCAGGUAGCUGUGCUAGUUUGAGCUAUGGAUGGCGCCAGAGUGUAGGAAUUUCUCUGGCACCCGAAGGCAGAUUCACCUUUGGCCUGGUUACAGGCACAGUUAGGCAACAGUUUGGGAGCUGUGGUUGUCACGCCUGGGCCUAGCGUGGGAAUACAGGGUCUCACGCUAGAGCUGCUGGUGCUUCUGGGACUAGGGCCUCAGACUGUGCUGGCGUGACCGCCAUCGAAGAUAGGACUGAGGGCGUUUGUGCUGGGAAGGCUGCCUGCAUCCUGAAAUGUCUCUGGCCUGUGGUCACCAGGCCUGACAUUCCUUUAACCUGGAACAAAGGCUUGUGUUGCAGAAAGAAAGAGUAAGCUUAAAAUGGCAGGAAAAAAGAAAUUCAAAUCAGAGAGAAAGAGAAACGUUGUGUGUCCGUGUGUGUGUGUCUGUCCAGGAUGGUGUGAUUUUGCUGAAGGCCAUCCCAAUAAGAAAAUCUGGGGUUUUUUCCCCUCACAGUGGCAGCAGAAUCAUUUCAGAAUGGGUGUAGGGUCUCCCAGAAUUAGGAAGCAGAGGAAAACAAGCCCUUAAUGAAGGUGAGGGAUGGGAGGGGGAAUCCAUUCUCUCAGAGCCUGGACUGUCGCUCGGAAGUGCGCUACUGCCCUCUGCUGGCCGCGGCGGGCAUGGCCGCCUGAACACGAGAAGGACUUCAAGGCCUCUCCCCUCGUCUGAGAGAAACUGAAGGAUGGAUUCCUGUGUGAAGUGGGAGACAAAUCAAAGGCGAAUCAUCUUCCACCACGCUCGGCCCCGCCCCAGGAAUACACGUUGGUCUCUUUUGGACUCGAAAAUAAACAGGUACACCUAGCUCCCCCAGCUGGUGCUUAGCAAGUGGGCCCGCACUGGCUUGAAAGUCCGAAGAACAAUGGCUUCGAGCAGACUGGGGCACAGGGCCUCCUGCACCUCUUCCGGCGCGGGCGGCGAGCUGGCUCGGGCUGGAGCCACGGGAGAUCUGCCGCGUGCUCGCUGUCUCCGGCCUACAACGCCUUAGCCGUUGAGAGAUUUCCCAAUCGGCCCCUAAAAUCGGAGUGGACACCCUUCUACUAUUUCUCUCUAGUUUUUUACAGCGUCUUACUGGGAGUCGACGACCCGCCGCCUUUGAAAACCUCCCCAAAGAAGCGUGGGUUCCUGUUCAUCAAGUGCCUGGGGCCUGAGGGUCUCAGCAGCUCCUCCUGCAUGAGAGGUGGAAGUACCACCAAAAUCCUGCUGGAAACCCUGUUACUGGCAGCCCAUAAGACGGUGGAGCAGGGCAUUGCAGCAUCUCCAAGAUGCCUUCUGGAAAUCCUGCGGACAUUUGAGCGGGCUCAUAAGGUGACCUACAGUCAAAGCUCCAAGAUCACCCUGAUGAAGCAAGUCAGCACCAGAUUUCCGAGACAUCUGUGGCUUUCUCAUUGGGGAUCACAGUGACAUGUUUAACCAGAAGGAUGAGCUCACCAAUCAGGGUCCACAGUUCACCUUCUCCCAGGAAAACUUCCUGACUUCCAUCCUGCCCUCCCUCAUGGAAACUGACACUGUUAUCUUCAUUUUCACCCUGGAUGAUAACCUUGUGGAAGUGCAGACACUGGUGGAGCAGGUGAAAGAGAAGGCCAGCAAUAUCCAGGCCCUGGCGCACAGCACUGUGGGGCAGUCCCUGCCGGUGAGGGUCCAGCCUUGAAAGGGGCCUGGGUGGCAGUCACAGGCUGGCCUGCCUGCACAUGUCGCUCUGGGUCCUGUUUCUCUUCGGGCCCCUCUGAAGAAGCUCUUUCCCUCCAUCAUCACUGCUUUUCUUCG
Non-coding RNA from Heterocephalus glaber (naked mole-rat), 2977 nucleotides. The record is from RefSeq and is a predicted model, not a curated record. NCBI's taxonomy places the organism in Eukaryota, Metazoa, Chordata, Mammalia, Rodentia, Bathyergidae.